CCUGCCCUGGAGGCAUUGCCUGCUAUGGCACAUGUUUGUCAGUAGGUGGCAGACAAGAGAGAAAUUAUGUCUAUACAUAAUUAUGUCUUGACCACCAAACAUUUGAAUGAUUAGUAGUCUAACAUU
Small nucleolar RNA from Arvicanthis niloticus (Nile rat), 126 nucleotides. RefSeq annotates it as small nucleolar RNA SNORA17. NCBI's taxonomy places the organism in Eukaryota, Metazoa, Chordata, Mammalia, Rodentia, Muridae. The record is from RefSeq and is a predicted model, not a curated record.